GGGGAUUUAGCUUAGCAGCAUAAGCACCUGCCUGGCAAGCACGAGGUGGUGAAUUCAAUCUCCC
This 64-nucleotide transfer RNA is filed under the name Cavia porcellus (domestic guinea pig). It matches the Rfam family "tRNA". Rfam says of the family: Transfer RNA (tRNA) molecules are approximately 80 nucleotides in length. Their secondary structure includes four short double-helical elements and three loops (D, anti-codon, and T loops). The record is from Rfam by way of RNAcentral. Lineage: Eukaryota; Metazoa; Chordata; Mammalia; Rodentia; Caviidae.